UGGGCAUUACCAAGGCUUUUAGAAUGCUUUUUCUCAUUUGCUGUGGACACGACCAUAAGAAAAUUUCCCAGUAGGUUUUCUAUCUGCUACCUUGCUAGCAAUCAGCCUAUUGAGAAUAUUU
Small nucleolar RNA from Aotus nancymaae (Ma's night monkey), 121 nucleotides. The record is from Ensembl. NCBI's taxonomy places the organism in Eukaryota, Metazoa, Chordata, Mammalia, Primates, Aotidae.